This 249-nucleotide ribosomal RNA is filed under the name Haemaphysalis houyi. RNAcentral describes it as "partial large subunit ribosomal RNA". Lineage: Eukaryota; Metazoa; Arthropoda; Arachnida; Ixodida; Ixodidae. The record is from RNAcentral.
AGUGCUAAGAGAAUGGAUUUUCAAAAAAAUUCUUUUUUGAAUUUAAAAAUUGAAGUUAUUUUUAUUUGUGAAGAAACAAUAAUAUAAAUUAAGGACAAGAAGACCCUAUGAAUUUUUAUAAAUGUAUUAAUAUUAAUAUUAAUACAUUUUCUUAAUUGGGGCGAUUAAAAAAUAUUAUUAACUUUUAUAAAUAUAAAUAUGAUCCAUUAAUAAUGAUUUCAUGAAAAAAAUACUCUAGGGAUAACAGCG